Molecule: unclassified non-coding RNA, 402 nt
Filed under: Tragia cf. subhastata WMCM-2016
Lineage: Eukaryota; Viridiplantae; Streptophyta; Magnoliopsida; Malpighiales; Euphorbiaceae
Description: partial external transcribed spacer
Source: RNAcentral
CAUGCUCCUUGUGCAUCGAACUGUUGAAAGUCGAUCUCAUCAAUCAAAGGCCAUGCACAUUCUUGUGAUAUGGAUGAAUGUCGGGUUCCCGUGCUGCAUACCCACGAAAGUGGAAAUUGGCUAUGUUGUGGGUUGAUAUUCGCUUAUGCCUGGCAAGGGCUAGUGGUGAACUUGGAAGCACCUCUUGUGUUCCAAACAUGUUAAUGCAACUGUUUUGGCACAUUUGUAGGUUGCUCGUGGUCUCGGAUGCGGCAAAUUAUUUUGUAGCUCUGAGGGAUCGGAUCCCUCAAUUGCUCAAAACAUUCGUUAUGUACGACAUGUAGUGCUUGUGUCCAGCCCUCCUCAUGCUACGAUGUUGGUAUGUUGAGGAAUGGAGCAAGCAUUGCUUUCGUGAAGGAAUGC